Molecule: RNA transcript, 7130 nt
Organism: Triticum dicoccoides
Lineage: Eukaryota; Viridiplantae; Streptophyta; Magnoliopsida; Poales; Poaceae
Gene name: sugar transporter ERD6-like 4
Exons: 15
Source: RefSeq, a predicted model, not a curated record
UACAAAGAGUUCUUUUUUACCUAGCCUGUCCGUUCUUUUUCUACGCAGUUAAUGUUUGCCGCACGUACGUAGUAUUUAAUUGUGAGAUCCACCCGUUUGCACCGUGUUUGCCUCUAGAGUCGCCGUAGAUAUUAUUUUUCCUUGACCUGCUUGUCUUUUUCUAGGCAUCUUUCGUUAGUUGUAACUUGUAAGCUGUAUUUCAUUGCGAGAUCGACCGGUUUGCCACUUGUCCCCUCACAUCACAUUUAAGAAGGGUCGGUGUCAAUCCUGUCUGUUGAUGGGUGCUUCCAUUCAACAGUGCAAUCUUUUGAGCAAUCGGUCUAUUUUAACCAUUUAAAGCAACAAAAAAAUGGAUAAGAUUUCUCAAUCUAGACAGACUUAAUUAAUCAUGCUAACAUCUCAGUGAUGGAGGUUCUUAUAUAUCAACAAAGAUAAAUUAGACAGCCAGCUGCCACCCACAUCCCUCAUGUAAUAUACUCCCUCCGAUCCGAAAUUACUUAUCACUAAAAUAGAUAAAAUUGAGUGUAUCUAGAACUAAAAUACAUCUAAAUACAUUCAUUUUUUCGAUAAGUAUUUCAGAACGUAGGCAGUAUGUUUGACAAGAGCAUGGACGCGGCCGAUUGGUUGGCCCAAGGCGGUAUUUUAUUUUUGAGGAAAACGGCAGAACUCUGGUGUGUAUUUUUGUUGAGCAAGCACAAGAAACAAAAGGAUUGGCUUGCAUGCAUGCGCGCAUGUACUGCUACAGCAUGUUGCUAGCUAGCAUACAAUAAUACUCCCUCUGUCUUAUAAUAUAAGAACGACUUUUACAAUAAUGUAGUGUCAAAAAUGAUUUUAUAUUAUAGGAUGGAGGGAGUAGUAUAUAGUAAGUGUAAAAUCAAUCCUACAGCCGGAAUAUAGUAAGUGGUAGGUGGAUAUGGGCUGCUUCACCGACUAUUGCUGACUUCCCCCAAAGAAAAAAUGAAUUAUUGCUGAGGAUGUUGCCGUCACCGGGGGGCGGCAGGUCGCUCGCCAAGAGAACGAGACGUCAAAACCACAUUGUAGGCCACGAUAGAAUAGGGACGGCCCGAAAUCGACGUGGCCGAACGGGCCACCACGCGCUGACGGAGCUGCACUGUUGCCGAAGCCGACGCCUUUGAGUGAAUGAAAUAAUGAGAGAGAGAAGGAAGAAAGAGAGAGUUUUAGCACUUUUAUAAAUGAACAUACGAAUAACUAGUUGGCUAAUCAUUUUUAUAUGGACAUAAACAACUAUCUGGUUAUAUCUAUGACUAGCAUGUACGUACGGAAGCCUAUAGCGUCAUGAUAUGAUAUGAUACUCCCUCAAUUCCACAAUGUAGUGCGCAUGCGCUUUCCGAAAUUUAAAUUUAACCAACGAGACCGACUGCAGCGGGAGCAAAAAUUAUGCCAUUGAAUUCGUACUGAAAGAGUGAAUUCAGUGGUAUAGUUUUUGUUUCCGCCGUAGUUGGUCUUGUUGUUUAAAUUUAUGGUUAAAUUUAAAUCUCGGAAAGCGCGGACGCACUACAUUGUGGAAUGGAGGGAGUACUCAAUAAUGUCAAUCGUGAGGCAGGUCAAGGAAUAGAAAACAAAGCAUCCGCCAAAAAAAAAGAGCACAAAGUGUGGAUUUGUUAUUUAUUUUUGCGAGAAGUUUUUCGUGAAUAUAUUGGUACAAACAUAAACAAUACUGAGAGUCUGAGAGAGACAGCUAGCUAGUUGAAGAGGGAAAAAGCUAUAAGAUAGACAUCGCGUAUAAAGCUAGCAGCGCAAGUGCGCGGAUCACCCAUGUUGCGCAAGUUGAAUAAGCUGUGGUUGAAUAAAGUGGGUGGUACUCUCAAAAAAAAGGAAUAAAGUGGGUGGAAUUACAUGUAUGGGUGCAAUUUCGCACAUCAAAAUCCGGACAUUUCUCUUUCGCUAAAGUGAAAUUAUGGGCUCCAGAAGGUGGUGCUUUGCUUGCACCAUCUGCUACGUUGGAGUUUGGCCUUUUGAGGUUCAUGAGGUCGACACUUGUGUAUGUUGAAAAUCAUGCGUAUGUUACCACUAAUAAAAUUCUGUGGUCGACACUUGUGUAUGCACUUAGUAGAGUCAUUAUCACCUUCUCGCACCCAUAUGUUUUGAAGAACACUCCAAAAGGAAAGGGGUUCAACCUUUAUGUCUAGAGGACCCUCCAUGGAUAUUUUUCCUUGGCCUGCUUGUCUUGUUGUAAGCAGCUACUGUUAGUUGUAAGCGGUAUUUCAUUGCGAGACCGACCGGUUUGCCACUUGUCUCCCCACAAUUAAGAAGGGUCGAUGUCAAUCCUUUUUGUUGAUCGAUACUUUCAUUCCAUGUACUUUCUUUGUCACAUAAUGUAAGACGUUUUUUGACAUUACACUAGUGUUAAAAAAUAUUCUAUAUUAUGGCACGGAAAGAGUAACAAACAACAGUGCAGUCUUUUGAGCAACCUAUCAACCUUUACCACUUAAAGCAACAGAAAAGGUGGAUGAGAUUGCUCAAUCUACACUUAAUCAUGUUAACAUCUCAAUGGCGGAGGUUCUUACCAACACAGAUAAAUUAGACAGCCAGCUGUCACCACAUACCUCAUGUGAUAUACGUUAGAUCAUGCAAUAUAUUGUUAUGUUAGAUAAGGCCGGGCAUAGACGCGGUCGGUCGGUCCAAGACGGUACUACCAUAUACUAUAUGUCGGGACUUUCUUCUUCUCGGCGUCACCGUCGACUGGACCAAUGUCCAAAGCCAAGAUGGUUUCACCGUCGACUGAAAACAGAAGUGUGGCAUCGCACACCCCACACCACAGCACACGUACUGUUGCAGCAGCUAGCUUGAAUAUAUUAUGGGCUGCUCUGCUGCAGCAGCUUGAAUGAAUUAUUGCUGAGGGUGCUGCCAUCACGUCAGGUCCGCACUCCACAGGUCGCUCGCCAAGAGGAGGAGACGUCAAAACCACAUUUGUGCGAUAGAAUAGAGACCGGCCGUGAAUCGACCUGGGCGAACGCACCGCCGCUCGCUACUGGAGUUGCACUGUUGCCGAAGGCGACGCGGUGCCGGUGAGUGGAGGAAAUAAUGAUAGAAAGAGAGAGUUUUGACAUUUUUAAAACAUGAACGUACGAAUAAGUAGUUAGGUAAUCAUUUUAAAUCGUACAUAUAAAUAAAUAGCUAAUUAUCUAUAACUAGCAUGUACGUACUGAAGCCUAUCGCGUCGUGAUGCCAUGUGACAUUAAAUAACGUCAAUCAUGAUUCAUGAGGGAGGUCAAGGAUGACAACGCAAAGUUCGGAUGCGAGGCAUAAUGUUUAGAUUUAUUUAAUUCUUGGUGAAACAUUUUUCAUGAAUAUAUUGGUGGAAACAAAUUAAAUAGUACCAAGAGAUAGUAAGUUGAAGAGCGAAAAAAAAAACUAUAGGAUAGAUAUUGUGUAGUAAAGCUAGCAGCGCAAGUGCGCGGAUCACCCAUCUAGCUCAAGCUGAAUAAGGUGUGGUUGGAUAAAGUGGGUGGGAUUUUGCACAUCAAAAGCUGGACAUUUUUCUUUUGCUAAAGUGAAACUAUAUAUGGACUCCAGAAGGUGGUGCUUUGCUUGCACGAUCUGUUGCAUUGGAGUCUAACCCUUUGAUGUUCAUGAGGUCGAAACUUGUGUAUGUAAAAAAUCAUGCGUAUACUACCAUUAAUAAAAUUCGGAAUCUACUCCCACCUUGUAUAAAUGCAAUCAAAUCUGCCAAGUAGACAAAAAUAUGAUUAACAAGAUAAUUAAUAGGAGGGAGCAGAAUUUGAUGACUCCAUAAACAAACGAUAUUAGGCACACAUACCUAAGCGAAAACAUAAUUUACUGCCCACAACUAAUUAAUAGAGUUGAUCAAAAUCGGACGUCCUUCAAUGGAGCUUGCCUUUCCAACGCCUCAAAUGUUUCUCUAAGCACUCUAGGACAUGUUCUCACACCGUAUUAGUGAGACAUCGAUAAUGGAUUGAAUUCCUAAAUGUUUAAUCAGGAAUUGGCUUUGUGUGCAACCAAUUAGGUCAGUGUGUUGUGCAUCCGCCUCUUUAGCUUCUCUGAAACAUAACGACUCGGUUUAAUGGAAGUUAAUCUAGAGACCUGACAUUUGCUCAAAUCUGAAAGCAAGAGUUUCAGAUUCCUAGCCUCAUCAAGGUCAAUGUUCCAUAAAAACAGGCAUCUCAUUGAGUUUUAGCUUUUGAGGCUAGGAUAUCAUUUGCAUAUGAUUUCGCAUAUGUACAUGGGGAUAUCAUUCUCAUCCGUCGUAACUUAUGAGAUAUCAUCUGCUUGGGUCUCGCCGAGUGUGAAGUUCCCUCCAUCUGAAGCCCCGAACAGAGACUUAUAAUAUCCGGUGAUAUAUCGUUUCAACUCCAACUCUGCCUGACCCACGAUCUGUCUGGCAUCCAGGUUAAAAAUAUGCUUCUUCCCAUGUCGCCCAUUGGUGACCAUAUGGAAACAUGGUGUAUUGUUAUCACACUCAAAAAGGAAUUGGGCUUUGGAUCUUUGGUACCGCUUGAUUUGCUCUUUUCACAAUAGACGUGCAAUCUGCUCAUUGGAUUGAUUUUUUAUAUCAAUCUCCUGAUGAGACAAAGUGCAUGUCUCCGUGAUGUUAUCGAUGCCAUCAAGAAUAUUGGUAAGGUGUUGCUUUUUUUACAUACCACUGGUAUGUUUCGCCCAUUCAAAUAGGAAUUGCCUAGUAGCCACGGUUUAAAAAUUCGAUGAAUAGGCGUCCGACAACGAAGUUAGAAUAGGCGUCCGACAACGGCGGGCCUUCCCAUACAUUCUUAAUUAAGUUUACAAAGUCAUCCCGUUGUAACCAUCCUAAUUCAAAUUUGAAUGGCCGGGGAGUAGCAGGGGAGCUAGUAGAGUUAGAAUCGGGAAUGAAGGGCACUUGGUCAGAAAGUGUCUCAAUAUGCUCCGGGGAGCAUGUACAGUCACGAGAGAAAACUUUAAUUUCCAUUCUGUGCAAUCGUCACAACAUUGUCAGCCUAACAUAUGUUGCGCAUAGAUCAUGGAAGAGCAACAUACAUGCAUGUGAUUGCUUUCCCAGUUGGCCAAUCGAAACCUGAAAACAAUAGGAAUGGUCAAUGGUUGCCGGGAGGAGUGCAUGUGGGUUAUCGCAAGAUAAGAGAGAGACCAGUCCAUGUCUAAAAUAAGGCUACCGGCGAGACCUGUAAGUAAGAUCACACCGACUAACAAGAAAAAUAUAUCAGAUGCCAAAAAUAAGGACCAUCACUUAGACUCCAGCACAUCCCAUCUCCUUGGAAGCAAGCAAGAUCAUGGCUUACCUGUCAAAAAUAACAGAGACCAUCGCGUACACUCUAGCCCAUCUUCUCCGUAGAAGCAAAAAAAUAAUGAUUGUACUAACAAGUGCACUCUAACUACUUACCAGUGAAGCAUUGGGUAUGAGAUUGUAAGAAAGCAAAUCCGGUGCUUGGAAGUAGUAGAAGGAAGGACUAGGACGAUGUGAUCAGAACGGGUUCUUGUACUCAACUAAUUGUCCCAUCAGGAGGGAGGGGUCGACCAGAUUGUAAGAGAAAUGGUUACUUGGUUAGUGGAAUAAUGCCUGCGGUGCAGAAUAGCACGAGGAUAACAUGCCCAACCGAAAGACAAGACCUUACCCUAGGUAGGCUUUGACUUUUGAGCCCUGCAGCGCACAUGUAUUGUGUGGAAGGAAGCCAAGCAACCAUACGUUGUACCUGUAUACGUCUGCAAACAAGCUACCUAGCUAGAGACGGAAGAGCCCAUCCCACCCCGACCACCUCUCCCCAUUUCAAAGUCGACAUCCUCUUCUUCCCCCUCCCUCCCCCUCUCUAUCGUCCAUCAGCCAGGGCCGCCAUGAACGGCAAGGGCGGAGACGGCGGGAGCGACCACGACGACAUGGACAUGCGGAAGCCGCUGCUGGUGAACACGGGGAGCUGGUACAAGAUGGGGUCGAGCCUCACGGCGGGGAGCUCCUCCAUGGCCAUCAUCUGCGAGUCCCACGUCUCCGCCUUGCUCUGCACGCUCAUCGUCGCGCUCGGCCCAAUCCAGUUCGGCUUCACCGGCGGCUUCUCCUCCCCGACGCAGGACGCCAUCACCCGCGACCUCGGCCUCUCCAUCUCCGAGUUCUCGGUGUUCGGCUCGCUCUCCAACAUCGGCGCCAUGGUGGGCGCCAUCGCCAGCGGCCAGAUGGUGGAGCACGUCGGCCACAAAGGGGCGUUGAUGAUCGCUGCUGUUCCUAACAUCCUCGGCUGGCUCGCCAUCUCCUUGGCAAAAGACACUACGUUUCUGUAUACGGGGCGAUUGCUUGAAGGAUUUGGUGUUGGUAUCAUAUCCUACACGGUGCCUGUAUACAUAGCAGAGAUUUCUCCUCGUAACAAGAGGGGCGCUCUAGGCUGUGUGAACCCGUUGUCUGUAACACUUGGGAUGGUGUUGGCCUAUGUGCUCGGCAUGCUUGUUCCUUGGAGGAUGCUUGCGCUGAUAGGAACCUUGCCAUGCACAAUAUUGAUACCUGGCCUACUCUUCAUUCCAGAAUCUCCAAGAUGGCUGGCAAAGAUGAACAAGAUGGAUGAUUUCGAAGCCUCUUUACAAGUUUUGAGAGGAUCUGAGACCGACAUCACCUCAGAAGUGAAUGAUAUAAAGACAGCGGUAGCAUCAGCAAACAAAAUGACGGCAAUUCGUUUCCAAGAGUUAAACCAAAAGAAAUUCCGCAUGCCCUUGAUACUAGGAAUUGGCCUGCUUGUACUACAACAGCUAAGUGGGAUCAACGCCAUACUGUUUUAUGCAGGCAGCAUCUUCAAAGCUGCAGGUCUUACAAACAGCAACUUGGCCGCAUGUGGACUUGGAGCUAUUGCGCUUCUUGCCACUGGAGCUACAACCUGGUUGCUAGACAGAGCUGGCCGACGGAUCCUACUUAUUGUAACUUUCCUCCUCUCUUUGAAACCAGUUUGUUACUGUAGUUGUCUGGAGUAUAAUUUAGCUCUCACUUCAACUUCCAGAUCUCUUCUGCUGGGAUGACCCUAAGCCUUCUUGCAAUUGCCGUCAUAUUUUUUCUCAAGGACAACGUUCCGCAAGAUUCUGACAUGUAUUACAUAUUAAGCAUGGUCUCCUUGUUUGCUAUUGUGGCUUAUGUGAUCACCUUCUCCUUCGGUAUGGGUGCCAUUCCAUGGGUCAUAAUGUCUGAG